RNAcentral lists this ribosomal RNA (140 nucleotides) under Actinomycetota bacterium. Its description in RNAcentral is "Actinobacteria bacterium partial 16S ribosomal RNA". It matches the Rfam family "Bacterial small subunit ribosomal RNA", at positions 1 to 136 of the family's 1533-position model. The record is from RNAcentral. Lineage: Bacteria; Bacillati; Actinomycetota.
UUUUACGGAGAGUUUGAUCCUGGCUCAGGACGAACGCUGGCGGCGUGCUUAACACAUGCAAGUCGAACGAUGAAGCUGGAGCUUGCUCCGGUGGAUUAGUGGCGAACGGGUGAGUAACACGUGAGCAAUCUGCCCUUGAC